This 1512-nucleotide ribosomal RNA is filed under the name Clostridium botulinum F str. Langeland. RNAcentral's name for it is "16S ribosomal RNA". It matches the Rfam family "Bacterial small subunit ribosomal RNA". The record is from RNAcentral. Lineage: Bacteria; Bacillati; Bacillota; Clostridia; Eubacteriales; Clostridiaceae. RNAcentral also lists the same sequence under 1 other name.
UAAAUUUAGAGUUUGAUCCUGGCUCAGGACGAACGCUGGCGGCGUGCUUAACACAUGCAAGUCGAGCGAUGAAGCUUCCUUCGGGAAGUGGAUUAGCGGCGGACGGGUGAGUAACACGUGGGUAACCUGCCUCAAAGUGGGGGAUAGCCUUCCGAAAGGAAGAUUAAUACCGCAUAAUAUAAGAGAAUCGCAUGAUUUUCUUAUCAAAGAUUUAUUGCUUUGAGAUGGACCCGCGGCGCAUUAGCUAGUUGGUAAGGUAACGGCUUACCAAGGCAACGAUGCGUAGCCGACCUGAGAGGGUGAUCGGCCACAUUGGAACUGAGACACGGUCCAGACUCCUACGGGAGGCAGCAGUGGGGAAUAUUGCGCAAUGGGGGAAACCCUGACGCAGCAACGCCGCGUGGGUGAUGAAGGUCUUCGGAUUGUAAAGCCCUGUUUUCUAGGACGAUAAUGACGGUACUAGAGGAGGAAGCCACGGCUAACUACGUGCCAGCAGCCGCGGUAAUACGUAGGUGGCGAGCGUUGUCCGGAUUUACUGGGCGUAAAGGGUGCGUAGGCGGAUGUUUAAGUGGGAUGUGAAAUCCCCGGGCUUAACCUGGGGGCUGCAUUCCAAACUGGAUAUCUAGAGUGCAGGAGAGGAAAGCGGAAUUCCUAGUGUAGCGGUGAAAUGCGUAGAGAUUAGGAAGAACACCAGUGGCGAAGGCGGCUUUCUGGACUGUAACUGACGCUGAGGCACGAAAGCGUGGGUAGCAAACAGGAUUAGAUACCCUGGUAGUCCACGCCGUAAACGAUGGAUACUAGGUGUAGGGGGUAUCAACUCCCCCUGUGCCGCAGUUAACACAAUAAGUAUCCCGCCUGGGGAGUACGGUCGCAAGAUUAAAACUCAAAGGAAUUGACGGGGGCCCGCACAAGCAGCGGAGCAUGUGGUUUAAUUCGAAGCAACGCGAAGAACCUUACCUGGACUUGACAUCCCUUGCAUAGCCUAGAGAUAGGUGAAGCCCUUCGGGGCAAGGAGACAGGUGGUGCAUGGUUGUCGUCAGCUCGUGUCGUGAGAUGUUAGGUUAAGUCCUGCAACGAGCGCAACCCUUGUUAUUAGUUGCUACCAUUAAGUUGAGCACUCUAAUGAGACUGCCUGGGUAACCAGGAGGAAGGUGGGGAUGACGUCAAAUCAUCAUGCCCCUUAUGUCCAGGGCUACACACGUGCUACAAUGGUAGGUACAAUAAGACGCAAGACCGUGAGGUGGAGCAAAACUUAUAAAACCUAUCUCAGUUCGGAUUGUAGGCUGCAACUCGCCUACAUGAAGCUGGAGUUGCUAGUAAUCGCGAAUCAGAAUGUCGCGGUGAAUACGUUCCCGGGCCUUGUACACACCGCCCGUCACACCAUGAGAGCUGGUAACACCCGAAGUCCGUGAGGUAACCGUAAGGAACCAGCGGCCGAAGGUGGGAUUAGUGAUUGGGGUGAAGUCGUAACAAGGUAGCCGUAGGAGAACCUGCGGCUGGAUCACCUCCUUU